This 240-nucleotide unclassified non-coding RNA is filed under the name soil metagenome. RNAcentral's name for it is "partial contains 5.8S ribosomal RNA, internal transcribed spacer 2, and large subunit ribosomal RNA". The record is from RNAcentral.
AACCAUAGAAACCUGCGGAGUACCUGCGGAGGGAUCAUUACAGAGUUGCAAAACUCCCUAAACCAUUGUGAACGUUACCUAAACCGUUGCUUCGGCGGGCGGCCCGGGUCCUUCCCGGCGCCCAUCGGCCCUCGCGGGCGCCCGCCGGAGGUAACCAAACUAUUGCAUUGUAUGGCCUCUCUGAGUCUUCUGUACUGAAUAAGUCAAAACUUUUAACAACGGAUCUCAGAUCGGAAGAGC